RNAcentral lists this ribosomal RNA (497 nucleotides) under uncultured bacterium. RNAcentral's name for it is "partial 16S ribosomal RNA". It matches the Rfam family "Bacterial small subunit ribosomal RNA", at positions 28 to 507 of the family's 1533-position model. The record is from RNAcentral.
GAUGAACGCUGGCGGCGUGCCUAAUACAUGCAAGUCGAGCGAACGGACGAGAAGCUUGCUUCUCUGAUGUUAGCGGCGGACGGGUGAGUAACACGUGGAUAACCUACCUAUAAGACUGGGAUAACUUCGGGAAACCGGAGCUAAUACCGGAUAAUAUUUUGAACCGCAUGGUUCAAAAGUGAAAGACGGUCUUGCUGUCACUUAUAGAUGGAUCCGCGCUGCAUUAGCUAGUUGGUAAGGUAACGGCUUACCAAGGCAACGAUGCAUAGACGACCUGGGAGGGUGAUCGGCCACCCUGGAACGGAGACGCGGUCCAGACUCCUACGGGAGGCAGCAGUAGGGAAUCUUCCGCAAUGGGCGAAAGCAUGACGGAGCAACGCCGCGUGAGUGAUGAAGGUCUUCGGAUCGUAAAACUCUGUUAUUAGGGAAGAACAUAUGUGUAAGUAACUGUGCACAGCUUGACGGUACCUAAUCAGAAAGCCACGGCUAACUACGUG